UACGGAGGGUGCGAGCGUUGUCCGGAAUCACUGGGCGUAAAGGGCGCGUAGGUGGCGCGGGCAGUCAACGGUGAAAGUUCGGGGCUCAACCCUGAAUCGGCCGUCGAUACUCCCGUGCUUGAGCACUGUAGAGGCAGAUGGAAUUCCGGGUGUAGCGGUGGAAUGCGUAGAGAUCCGGAAGAACACCGGUGGCGAAGGCGGUCUGCUGGGCAGUAGCUGACACUGAGGCGCGACAGCGUGGGAGCAACAGG
RNAcentral lists this ribosomal RNA (251 nucleotides) under uncultured bacterium. Its description in RNAcentral is "partial 16S ribosomal RNA". It matches the Rfam family "Bacterial small subunit ribosomal RNA", at positions 524 to 776 of the family's 1533-position model. The record is from RNAcentral.